GCAUUUAAUAUUCUGUCGGAAUAUCCUGUCGGUGUGAAUUUCACCUGACCUGGUUCCAUUAUUUAUUAUUUCGUAUUUAUUAUUCUGUUGGAAUUACCUGUCUAUGCGAAGUACCGCAUGCAUGGUGAUUUCUGUUAUUCCAUUCUUUAUUAUACUCAGUUGGUUAAAGUUUUGACUUCUAUACUCCAUGAAAUUAGUGGAAUAUCUUUGAUAUUUGCGCUUCAUCCAGUAUCUUUUCGUGGAAAUAUUCUUCUGAGCAUUCUUGCAUUUUACUCUACAAAGCAGUAUCAUGUUGACAAUUUGGACGUUAUUGGUUCCUGGACAAAUUAAUUCUUGAACUUGUUUAAUUGAAUUCUUAUAUCAUUGUCAUCAUCCUCGUGUUUAUGUUAUGUUGAAAGUGAUCUGUGGCCUGUAGUGCAUAGAUGGACUUGGUAUGAUUAUGACCAGGGAUUAUUCGGUAUAAUCAUGACCAUAAUGUUACAAAUGAUGCGAAAAUUAUGAGUCCUCGUUGGCCCGAAGUGCAUUGAUGGACAGUUUUUGGUAUGAUUAUGGCUAUACAUUCUCUUCGGCCAAGGGAGCAAAGAUGAAUCUUUUUAUGGCAUGAUCAGGACCGUUGAUGAAAACACAAUUAUCUUUUGGCCCCGUAGUGCCAUGGAUAAUUCGUGGUCGUGAUACUAAAUAAUAUCUUUGGCCUGUAGUGCAGGGAUGAUUUAAUGAUGUGGAUUAUUUAUUGAGCUGAGUCUCUGCGAUAAAAGUGAUGAAAAACUUUUUAAAGCAUAAAAGAUAGUAGAUUCUAUUCUCUACUUGAUUCUUUUAAUGAAUUGCUUGUUCCGCUGCAGUUAAACUUGAUGUCUAUUGUAUUUUAUCAGUUUAACAUUGUUGGAGGCUAAUGAUAAUUUAUUCUACAUUAUCUUAGUCAUAAUAUUUCUUACUGGGCUAGUUGAGCUCACCCUUUCUUUCACUGUUCUUUUCAGGAAAUGAGAAUAUAGCUGGGACGAGUUGGGGAACAGAGUGAUGGUCCAGAGGAUAGCAUUAGUAGUCCUCACUAUUCUGUGAAAUAGUGUGAUAAUAAUUGUAAUGAGGACUCCUUUUGAGUUUGUAUAAUCUCUAGUAGAUAAUAUUUGUAUUCAAACUCACAAUUUAUGUUUGUCGUAUUGUACACGACAGUUGUAUUAGUAAGUUGUAUUUGAAUUCUGUACCAUGUAUCUGACGACCCAAGAUAGGUGAUGUAUAACUAAUUUUGGGGGCGUCACAACCUGGCUGUAUCAUAUUGUAAGUAUACAUUCGAAUGGAAAAUUCCAAAUGGGAGGAGGUAAGUUUUGCUUCAAAAAAAAAAAAAAAAAAAAA
Molecule: long non-coding RNA, 1347 nt
Filed under: Panax ginseng (ginseng)
Lineage: Eukaryota; Viridiplantae; Streptophyta; Magnoliopsida; Apiales; Araliaceae
Description: partial multiple function-associated MAR
Source: RNAcentral